CUCGAACUCAGUGACCUGAGCCAAAGUUGGAUGCUUAACAAACUGAGCCACUCAGGAGCCUCUAGAUAGGCACUCUUGAAGCCCAUACUAUGGUCCUGCUUGUGGAAGCUUUACUUUCUACAGAACUGUAAAGAAGCCACUGAGAUCCAAGACUAGAUCCCAGAACCAUGGAGAGAUGCCUGAGCUUCCUGGAGGGGUGGUUCACCAAGACACCAAGGGCAGCAUCACUAGAGGAACAGUCUAAACCAUUGCCAAGAGAGACAAAGCCCGAGUGGGGA
This is a long non-coding RNA of Suricata suricatta (meerkat), 278 nucleotides long. RefSeq lists it as uncharacterized. Lineage: Eukaryota; Metazoa; Chordata; Mammalia; Carnivora; Herpestidae. The record is from RefSeq and is a predicted model, not a curated record. The transcript is spliced from 3 exons.